RNAcentral lists this ribosomal RNA (253 nucleotides) under uncultured bacterium. RNAcentral describes it as "partial 16S ribosomal RNA". It matches the Rfam family "Bacterial small subunit ribosomal RNA", at positions 524 to 776 of the family's 1533-position model. The record is from RNAcentral.
UACAGAGGUCCCGAGCGUUGUUCGGAUUCACUGGGCGUAAAGGGUGCGUAGGUGGUGAGGUAAGUCGGAUGUGAAAUCUCCGGGCUUAACCCGGAAAUGGCAUUGGAAACUACCUUGCUAGAGGAUUUGAGGGGGGAUUGGAAUACUUGGUGUAGCAGUGAAAUGCGUAGAUAUCAAGUGGAACACCAGUGGCGAAGGCGAAUCCCUGGAAAAUACCUGACACUGAGGCACGAAAGCUAGGGGAGCAAACAGG